GAUGAACGCUGGCGGCGUGCCUAAUACAUGCAAGUCGAGCGAACGGACGAGAAGCUUGCUUCUCUGAUGUUAGCGGCGGACGGGUGAGUAACACGUGGAUAACCUACCUAUAAGACUGGGAUAACUUCGGGAAACCGGAGCUAAUACCGGAUAAUAUUUUGAACCGCAUGGUUCAAAAGUGAAAGACGGUCUUGCUGUCACUUAUAGAUGGAUCCGCGCUGCAUUAGCUAGUUGGUAAGGUAACGGCUUACCAAGGCAACGAUGCAUAGCCGACCUGAGAGGGUGAUCGGCCACACUGGAACUGAGACACGGACCAGACUCCUACGGGAGGCAGCAGUAGGGAAUCUUCAGCAAUGAGCGAAAGCCUGACGGAGCAACGCCGCGUGAGUGAUGAAGGUCUUCGGAUCGUAAAACUCUGUUAUUAGGGAAGAACAUAUGUGUAAGUAACUGUGCACAUCUUGACGGUACCUAAUCAGAAAGCCACGGCGAACUACGU
Molecule: ribosomal RNA, 496 nt
Filed under: uncultured bacterium
Lineage: Bacteria
Description: partial 16S ribosomal RNA
Rfam family: Bacterial small subunit ribosomal RNA
Source: RNAcentral